RNAcentral lists this ribosomal RNA (445 nucleotides) under uncultured bacterium. Its description in RNAcentral is "SSU rRNA". It matches the Rfam family "Bacterial small subunit ribosomal RNA", at positions 26 to 518 of the family's 1533-position model. The record is from RNAcentral.
AGGAUGAACGCUGGCGGCGUGCCUAAGACAUGCAAGUCGUGUGGGUUUAGACCCACGGCGAACGGGUGAGUAAUACCUAGGAACUUUCUUUAAGUUGAGGAUAUCCCAUCGAAAGAUGGUGCAAUACUCAAUGUGGUAGUAAUACUAAAGUCGCAAGACGCUUAAAGUGAGGCCUGGGCACCAUCAGCUAGUUGGUAAGGUAAUGGCUUACCAAGGCUAUGACGGUUAGGGGUCCCGAGAGGGAUAACCCCCACACUGGAACUGCGACACGGUCCAGACUCCUACGGGAGGCAGCAGUUUGGAAUUUUGGACAAUGGGCGAAAGCCUGAUCCAGCGACGCCGCGUGGACGAUGAAGGCCUUCGGGUUGUAAAGUCCUUUUGCUCGGGAACAAUUUUUGAGCGUACCGAGAGAAUAAGAGGUUGCUAACUCUGUGCCAGCAGCCGC